Molecule: ribosomal RNA, 464 nt
Filed under: Pichia membranifaciens
Lineage: Eukaryota; Fungi; Ascomycota; Pichiomycetes; Pichiales; Pichiaceae
Description: eukaryotic LSU rRNA
Rfam family: 5.8S ribosomal RNA (bases 96-250)
Source: RNAcentral
GGUCCGUACUGACGCGUAGUUUGCAACACACGGUGGGCGCACGGAGAAGACCUAAAUAUAGUUAACACCAGUCAACAAAAGUUCUUAAAAGAUAAAACUUUCCACACAACGGAUCUCUUGGUUCUCGCAUCGAUGAAGAGCGCAGCGAAAUGCGAUACCUAGUGUGAAUUGCAGCCAUCGUGAAUCAUCGAGUUCUUGAACGCACAUUGCGCCCGUCGGUAUUCCGGCGGGCAUGCCUGUCUGAGCGUCGUUUCCUUCUUGCGGACUCCUCUUGAAAAAAAAUCUUUUUGGAGAGAGAGAGAGACAGCAGAGCUGGCCGUGCCACUGGCCCGGCCGAAAAGAAACGUUGCGGACGAAGCGAACUACAUCGGGACGCUUUGGCCGCCGAGCGAAAACACCAUUGAGCUCGACCUCAGAUCAGGUAGGAGUACCCGCUGAACUUAAGCAUAUCAAUAAGCGGAGGA